CAGCUGAAAAGUCUGCCGCAGAGUUGAACCUGCCCAUAUCUUUCUCGGGGAGGCAGCCUGGAGUGGGGUGGGUGAGCGGGUAAGGCUGCAGCUCGAAGAAGGGCAGAUUGCAAUUUGCUUUUUUUGUUUGUUUGUUCGUUACACAGAAGGGGAGGAGGAGGAAGUGUCUUGCUUUUCUCUCCUCCCUCCCUGUGUCAGACUAAAGGGGAAGCAGAGCGGGCAUUUUCUACAGUUGCCGCCCGCCAUGGCUUUCAAGCCCCUCGUCCCCUCUUGAGCGCCGGGGAGAAGUUGGCCCAGGAGGGGAGCUGAGUGGCUCUUGCUCCUUCCUUCCUUCUUUCCUUCCUCCCCCCCCCCCACCCGUCGCUCCUUCCUUCCUGCCUGCUGCCUGCCUUCAGAAAGCCUGGUGCAGCACUCUAAAGCGUCCACCUCCAACCCCAGCAUCCUGCCUUCGAAGCCUGGAGGGGGAGGUGAACAUAGGAAGGAAGUAUGCUGUCUUGGGUGUGACCUUAGGUGCAAGAUGUUUGGCACCAAAUGAUCUAAAAUUCACAGUGGGAAGCGUGGAAUAUGUUCUGCUCUCCUAAACCACCUGCAUCUUUAGCAUAUAUUUCCAGACACAAGUCAGUGAGUUUCAUUCACAGACCGCAGAAGAUAAGAGAAGAAGCAAGCAAGAAGAUUUGAGAGUAGUCUAUAUCUGCAGUAUGCAGGAAUUGCAACUUAUUAUUCUGAGACUGGACAUUUUGGGAACUAUUUUCUACUUUUUAACUAGAAAAAGACCCGGAGUUGUUGUUGUUGUUUUGGGGGGGG
This is a long non-coding RNA of Elgaria multicarinata webbii, 804 nucleotides long. RefSeq lists it as uncharacterized. The record is from RefSeq and is a predicted model, not a curated record. Lineage: Eukaryota; Metazoa; Chordata; Lepidosauria; Squamata; Anguidae. The transcript has 2 exons.